This 547-nucleotide ribosomal RNA is filed under the name uncultured archaeon. RNAcentral describes it as "bacterial SSU rRNA". It matches the Rfam family "Archaeal small subunit ribosomal RNA", at positions 1 to 555 of the family's 1478-position model. The record is from RNAcentral.
UUCCGGUUGAUCCCGCCGGAGGUCACUUGCUUUACGGGGUUCGAUUAAGCCAUGCGAGUCGAGAGGGUUCGGCCCUCGGCGUACUGCUCAGUAACACGUGGAUAACCUGCCCUAGGGAAGGGGAUAAUCCCGGGAAACUGGGGAUAAUACCCUAUAGGUUACAGAUGCUGGAAUGCUCUGUAAUCAAAAGUUCCGGCGCCCUAGGAUGGAUCUGCGGCCGAUUAGGUUGUUGUUGGGGUAAUGGCCCAACAAGCCAGUAAUCGGUACGGGUUGUGGGAGCAAGAGCCCGGAGUUGGAUUCUGAGACACGAAUCCAGGCCCUACGGGGCGCAGCAGGCGCGAAAACUUUACAAUGCGGGCAACCGUGAUAAGGGAACCUCGAGUGCCUGUAAAUGCAGGCUGUUCAGAUGCCUAAAACACAUCUGGAGAAAGGGCCGGGCAAGACCGGUGCCAGCCGCCGCGGUAAUACCGGCGGCUCGAGUGGUGGCCACUUUUAUUGGGCUUAAAGCGUUCGUAGCUGGGUUGUUAAGUCUCUAGGGAAAUCUGGC